UACGUAGGGUGCGAGCGUUGUCCGGAAUUAUUGGGCGUAAAGGGCUCGUAGGCGGUUUGUUGCGUCGGGAGUGAAAACUCAGGGCUUAACCCUGAGCCUGCUUCCGAUACGGGCAGACUAGAGGUAUGCAGGGGAGAACGGAAUUCCUGGUGUAGCGGUGAAAUGCGCAGAUAUCAGGAAGAACACCCGUGGCGAAGGCGGCUCUCUGGAACGCAACUGACGCUGAGACGCGAAAGCGUGGGGAGCAAACAGG
This 253-nucleotide ribosomal RNA is filed under the name uncultured bacterium. RNAcentral's name for it is "partial 16S ribosomal RNA". It matches the Rfam family "Bacterial small subunit ribosomal RNA", at positions 524 to 776 of the family's 1533-position model. The record is from RNAcentral.